RNAcentral lists this ribosomal RNA (467 nucleotides) under uncultured bacterium. Its description in RNAcentral is "partial 16S ribosomal RNA". It matches the Rfam family "Bacterial small subunit ribosomal RNA", at positions 29 to 507 of the family's 1533-position model. The record is from RNAcentral.
ACGAACGCUGGCGGCGUGCUUCACACAUGCCAGUCGAACGGAAAGGCCCUGCUUUUGUGGGGUGCUCGAGUGGCGAACGGGUGAGUAACACGUGAGUAACCUGCCCUUGACUUUGGGAUAACUUCAGGAAACUGGGGCUAAUACCGGAUAGGAGCUCCUGCUGCAUGGUGGGGGUUGGAAAGUUUCGGCGGUUGGGGAUGGACUCGCGGCUUAUCAGCUUGUUGGUGGGGUAGUGGCUUACCAAGGCUUUGACGGGUAGCCGGCCUGAGAGGGUGACCGGCCACAUUGGGACUGAGAUACGGCCCAGACUCCUACGGGAGGCAGCAGUGGGGAAUAUUGCACAAUGGGCGGAAGCCUGAUGCAGCAACGCCGCGUGCGGGAUGACGGCCUUCGGGUUGUAAACCGCUUUCGCCUGUGACGAAGCGUGAGUGACGGUAAUGGGUAAAGAAGCACCGGCUAACUACGUG